GUCGAGCGGACAGAAGGGAGCUUGCUCCCGGAUGUUAGCGGCGGACGGGUGAGUAACACGUGGGUAACCUGCCUGUAAGACUGGGAUAACUCCGGGAAACCGGAGCUAAUACCGGAUAGUUCCUUGAACCGCAUGGUUCAAGGAUGAAAGACGGUUUCGGCUGUCACUUACAGAUGGACCCGCGGCGCAUUAGCUAGUUGGUGAGGUAACGGCUCACCAAGGCGACGAUGCGUAGCCGACCUGAGAGGGUGAUCGGCCACACUGGGACUGAGACACGGCCCAGACUCCUACGGGAGGCAGCAGUAGGGAAUCUUCCGCAAUGGACGAAAGUCUGACGGAGCAACGCCGCGUGAGUGAUGAAGGUUUUCGGAUCGUAAAGCUCUGUUGUUAGGGAAGAACAAGUGCAAGAGUAACUGCUUGCACCUUGACGGUACCUAACCAGAAAGCCACGGCUAACUACGUGCCAGCAGCCGCGGUAAUACGUAGGUGGCAAGCGUUGUCCGGAAUUAUUGGGCGUAAAGGGCUCGCAGGCGGUUUCUUAAGUCUGAUGUGAAAGCCCCCGGCUCA
This 567-nucleotide ribosomal RNA is filed under the name Bacillus sp. G5O25(A). Its description in RNAcentral is "bacterial SSU rRNA". It matches the Rfam family "Bacterial small subunit ribosomal RNA", at positions 61 to 611 of the family's 1533-position model. The record is from RNAcentral. Lineage: Bacteria; Bacillati; Bacillota; Bacilli; Caryophanales; Bacillaceae.